Molecule: ribosomal RNA, 449 nt
Filed under: uncultured Enterobacteriaceae bacterium
Lineage: Bacteria; Pseudomonadati; Pseudomonadota; Gammaproteobacteria; Enterobacterales; Enterobacteriaceae
Description: bacterial SSU rRNA
Rfam family: Bacterial small subunit ribosomal RNA
Source: RNAcentral
GUGGGGAAUAUUGCACAAUGGGCGCAAGCCUGAUGCAGCCAUGCCGCGUGUAUGAAGAAGGCCUUCGGGUUGUAAAGUACUUUCAGCGAGGAGGAAGGCAUUAAGGUUAAUAACCUUGGUGAUUGACGUUACUCGCAGAAGAAGCACCGGCUAACUCCGUGCCAGCAGCCGCGGUAAUACGGAGGGUGCAAGCGUUAAUCGGAAUUACUGGGCGUAAAGCGCACGCAGGCGGUCUGUCAAGUCGGAUGUGAAAUCCCCGGGCUCAACCUGGGAACUGCAUUCGAAACUGGCAGGCUAGAGUCUUGUAGAGGGGGGUAGAAUUCCAGGUGUAGCGGUGAAAUGCGUAGAGAUCUGGAGGAAUACCGGUGGCGAAGGCGGCCCCCUGGACAAAGACUGACGCUCAGGUGCGAAAGCGUGGGGAGCAAACAGGAUUAGAUACCCUAUAGUCC